CGUACGCCAUACGAAAAGCAUUGCCGACUAUGGUGUUCAAUUCUUCCGCCUGUGAACAGAGAGGAACGGUUAAAAAUUAGUUGAUGUUCUGCCGAAAAUUGGUUUAUCAUAAUAACUAUGAUAUACCUAUAUAGAUCGACUUACAAAUAAAUAAAUUUCCAAAAAUGAAGUAUCAAUCGGCAAAGAGAUUAACUCGAUAAUCGAUUAGUUAAUCAUCGUAUUUUGAUCGUCUUAUUCUCCGCUAUUAUACGAUUCCAAGUUUGAAAGAUACUCGAAUAACUUGAAACUCGUUGAGUCUAUCUUAUUACUUUUUCUCUCGUCUGGAUUCUCGACGAAUACUCGGAUACUUUGGAAUGUGAAAACUCCAAGAGACUAUUUCACGAAAAAUAAAGAAUAAGGAGAAAAA
Molecule: long non-coding RNA, 406 nt
Filed under: Polistes fuscatus (common paper wasp)
Lineage: Eukaryota; Metazoa; Arthropoda; Insecta; Hymenoptera; Vespidae
Description: uncharacterized LOC122522412
Source: RNAcentral